UACCCGCUGACGAGCGGCGGACGGGUGAGUAAUGCAUAGGAAUCUGCCCGAUAGUGGGGGAUAACCUGGGGAAACCCAGGCUAAUACCGCAUACGUCCUACGGGAGAAAGGGGGCUUCGGCUCCCGCUAUUGGAUGAGCCUAUGUCGGAUUAGCUAGUUGGUGAGGUAAUGGCUCACCAAGGCAACGAUCCGUAGCUGGUCUGAGAGGAUGAUCAGCCACAUCGGGACUGAAACACGGCCCGAACUCCUACGGGAGGCAGCAGUGGGGAAUAUUGGACAAUGGGGGCAACCCUGAUCCAGCCAUGCCGCGUGUGUGAAGAAGGCCCUCGGGUUGUAAAGCACUUUCAGCGAGGAAAAACGCCUAUCGGUUAAUACCCGGUAGGAAGGACAUCACUCGCAAAAAAAGCACCGGCUAACUCCGUGCCAGCAGGCGCGGUAAUACGGAGGGUGCAAGCGUUAAUCGGGAUUACUGGGCGUAAAGCGCGCGUAACGUGGCUUGAUAACCCGGUUGUGAAAGCCCCGGUCUCACCUUGGGAACGGCACUCCGGAACUGUCAGGCUAAAGUGCAGGAAAUGAAGGUAGAAUUCCUCGGUGUAGCGGUGAAAUGCGUAGACAUCGGGUAGGAAUACGAACUGCCAAGGCAGCCCUUCCGUGCUGACUCUGACCCUGAUGUGCCCUAGCGGUGGGUAGCCAACCCGAAUAGAUACCCUGGCAGUCGACGCUCCUACCCGAUGUCUACCCGUCUCUGGGGUGCCUCCGGGCACUU
RNAcentral lists this ribosomal RNA (766 nucleotides) under bacterium SCS_04Z1_41_2. Its description in RNAcentral is "bacterial SSU rRNA". It matches the Rfam family "Bacterial small subunit ribosomal RNA", at positions 81 to 840 of the family's 1533-position model. The record is from RNAcentral.